Rattus norvegicus (Norway rat) is the source of this 2769-nucleotide non-coding RNA. Lineage: Eukaryota; Metazoa; Chordata; Mammalia; Rodentia; Muridae. The record is from RefSeq and is a predicted model, not a curated record.
GGCGUUCCUCCGAGCAGGUCUAGGCCCCGGAGGACCGCGCCUCGGUGGCACCCCGCUAGCCUGGCUGCUGAGCUGCUCUCUGAGAAGACUAGGUCAACAGAUUAUGCGUUAAGGACCAAAAACACCACAUGAGCACUGCACGAGUGGUCGGAGAAAGGAGACUAUCCAUUUCCCAGCAGGGUUGCAGUUCAAAACCGUCAGAAUGACUACUGUACAGAAAUCACAGGCUGUAAUGGAUUGGCUAGAAGGUGGGGGUAUUGAAUCUUUAGGUACUGUAGAGGUAGCAGAAAUCCAAAAGUAGUACGUGCGCAGUGGCCGCUCUCAGAGUCACCUCGGCCAAGAUGAAGAAGCAGCCCAGUGCAUGCAGACAAGAUGGGCUUUAUCUACAAGGACCUGGUCUGGCAGGAAGAGGAGAAGGGGGAGACGGGAGAACAAAGCAGAGCCUUGUCCUUGUCUGGGACGUGAUGGGCAGAGAGACGGCUGGGUGAUGAUGUAUUCAGGGCUCAGGCAGCAUGCUGCUGAGGCGUCAAGGAACACAGCACCCAAGUCCUGGAGGACAGGCUGGGCCCCCUCUGUGGUAGUGGACUGAGUUGGGACUCCUGAGAGUGCUCAGAGUCUGAGCUCAAACUGAGGGUGGUGGGACUCUCAGAGCUCAUCUGUCUCCCUUCUGCAUGUUCUCACAUGGCAGAAGACAGACCUCACCCUGAUGGUGUCCCAGACCCUUCAGCAUGCACAGCUCCCUACUCGCAACAGGACCUGCAUUCAUACUUCCGGGAGAGCUAGGGCUCCGGCUGUCCUGUCUGCCAGGGUUGAGCAGCCUCUGCUCGCCCACCCACCAGCAUGCGCCAGCACCUUCUGCCAGUGAAAGGAAAGACAUGGAAAAGCGUACCUGCUUCCUCUGGCGUUGGCUUGGCUCCUGCAAAAGGAAAGGAGAAAGGUUUGCCCGUCAUCUAGGGCAAACCUCCACGAACCACUGCAGACCAGGACAAGGACCGUUUGAAGGAGAGGCGUGGGAAGGUAAGAGAAUCACGGCUAUGCUACGUCCAGUCCCAGAGCGGCCCCUCACCUGCAGGAAUCCCCAGCAGAAGGCCAAGAGCCAGCCACCACAGCACACAGGGCUGCAUCCUUACCAAGUGCAGACGGUAUACUCAGGACCACCUGCAGCAGGAGGAAGCCAAGGAUGAUAAUGCUGCCCACCAGGAUGAGCCCGUUCUGCCACCGCGAAGCGGACCACCCUCAGGAAUGCUCGAAUGUUCGUAAAUGCAUCUGUUUCUGCUUUUCUAAGCCACUAUUCUGAGGUAAAAGCUUAUUCGUUUUGACGGUUUAAGAAUGCCUUGCCCCCAUUCCCACCCCCAUCACAAACACCAGGUCCACCCUAUCUAUAGAGAGAACAAUCCAAACCCUCCCAGAGGGUACCUCGUUGCUGGUCUGCAGCCUUGUGGGGCCACUGCCAGCACUCAGGCUCCACUUUAUAGUAGGGCUGGGACAAGGAAGGAAGCGUCACCCUCCUGAGCCAUCAAACUGAAUAUUUCAUCCCCCAGCAGAGGACUGUAGGUCUCUGUUUCCCUGCUGGCAGGAGGGCCCGUGGGAGCAGCUGGGGGAAUCGCACCACAGAUCAGAUCUGCCAUCAACUUUCAAAGCUGAGUUCAGCAAGGGUGCAUCUAAUACACCUCCUUCUAAGUCUGUUACCGGGGGCAUCGGAGGGCUGCUGAAACCCCUCAGCUGUGCUACAGGACCCUGUGAUCCCAUGGCCUCCUCGGUAAGCCUGCAAACACUCCCUCACCCAGGACACCACACUAGUAGAGCAGCAUGGAGAGGAAGUGGGGACAAGAUGGACCCCUCCCCAGACCAGAGUUUUCUUCCAAGUCUCUAAUGGGCAAGGCCAGGGGAUAGAUACCUGUAGAUAUUAUCUCAGAGGCCCUUAAGUUCAGAUCACUGUGAUUAUCCCUUGAUAGAACCCUUGCCCAUCUAUCAGAGUAAGUGCAGCCUCGUGGACCCACCCCCGAGGUCUCAACACCCUGCUGGAUACAGUACUAUGUCCAGGAUAAUGGCCUCCAUUGUUUCUCAACACCCCAGGACUCUCAAAGAUUCUGGUACCCUGUUCUGGAGUUGUGUGGCCCAGGAGUCCCCUCAAGUCCCCAUCCUUCCCCAAGUGACAGCCUAAAUCUAAUCAGAGAUACAGAGAGGGGGUAUGAUCCAGUAGUAUUGGAGUGCAGCCAUGUAGCAGAGAGCCUCUGGCUUUCAUUUCCAGACCCCUGGCUCCUGAGCUAUAAGAAGUGUGGCUGCUUUUAGGGCAGCUGUGUCAGGGUCGCUGAACCAUCUGCAGGUAUAUGAUUCAUGAGGACAUUCAGCCCUGAUUUACAGCACAGCUGUACUCGCAGCCUUGAUUUACAACAGACACAGAGGACCUGGCAAAGAGAAAGGCUCUAGUCAGAACCCAAAGGAGCAGACACCCUGAGCCUCUGGUCAUCAGAGGGCCACCAGGAUCUAGCAGUCAACUGUCCACCCUGAUGAGCCCAUAUCUAAAGAAAACAUGCAAACUGGUUUGAAACCGGUUUCCUAAUGCAAGACUGAACUUUGGAAAGUCUAGAGCCAAUUAGCAGCUGUGAGUCCAGGAGAGGAAACUAUGGGUGUUCAUUGACUUUCUCCUCCCUUACUGGGUGUGUAUUUUUAUCUAUCUAUCUAUCUAUCUAUCUAUCUAUCUAUCUAUCUAUCUAUCUAUCUAUUGGUAAGAAAAUCUUAAAUAAAACAGCCCCGCCAUCAGCAACA